Molecule: ribosomal RNA, 493 nt
Filed under: Lottia cf. borealis 6-XXII-09_Uss
Lineage: Eukaryota; Metazoa; Mollusca; Gastropoda; Lottiidae
Also listed under: 4 other names
Description: partial large subunit ribosomal RNA
Rfam family: Bacterial large subunit ribosomal RNA
Source: RNAcentral
AAGGUAGCGUAAUCAAUAGCCUAUUAAUUGUUGGCCUGUAUGAAUGGUACGACGCUGGUGGUGCUGUCUCAGUUGCAUUUAUUUGAACUUAACUUCCGGGUGAAAAGGCCCAGAUAAAUCUGAAAGACGAUUAGACCCUAUCGAACUUUAGGUAGAUCAGCUGUCAAGACACCCAGUAAGGGUAGAGCCUGCCUGCUGCUUAAACCUUUGGUUGGGGUAACCGGGGGUUAAAAAAACCGCCCCCCUCCUUUGAAAGUAGACACCCGCAUGAUGAAGGUAGUAGAGAUUUUACCUCCAGGGCAAUUGGCCUUCAGGAAAGUACCACCUUUUAUAAAAUUAGGAAAGUCUGACAAGACGUAACUUACUUAUAGAAUGAACCUAAAGAACUGUUUGCUAUCAGUCAACUGUUAAUAGGGAAGAGUUACCGUAGGGAUAACAGCGUAAUCCUCCCGGCGAGACCACAUUAAGGGGAGGGUUUGCGACCUCGAUGUUG